GACGAACGCUUGCGGCGUGCCUAUACAUGCAGUAACCUGAGAGAGGACUUGCUCUUCUUGGAUGAGUUGCGAACGGGUGAGUAACGCGUAGGUAACCUGCCUGGUAGCGGGGGAUAACUAUUGGAAACGGUAGCUAAUACCGCAUAAAGUAGAUGUUGCAUGACAUUUGCUUAAAAGGUGCAAUUGCAUCACUACCAGAUGGACCUGCGUUGUAUUAGCUAGUUGGUGAGGUAACGGCUCACCAAGGCGACGAUACAUAGCCGACCUGAGAGGGUGAUCGGCCACACUGGGACUGAGACACGGCCCAGACUCCUACGGGAGGCAGCAGUAGGGAAUCUUCGGCAAUGGACGGAAGUCUGACCGAGCAACGCCGCGUGAGUGAAGAAGGUUUUCGGAUCGUAAAGCUCUGUUGUAAGAGAAGAACGAGUGUGAGAGUGGAAAGUCUCACACUGUGACGUAUCUUCCAGAAA
RNAcentral lists this ribosomal RNA (470 nucleotides) under Streptococcus sp. oral taxon 064. RNAcentral describes it as "bacterial SSU rRNA". It matches the Rfam family "Bacterial small subunit ribosomal RNA", at positions 28 to 488 of the family's 1533-position model. The record is from RNAcentral. Lineage: Bacteria; Bacillati; Bacillota; Bacilli; Lactobacillales; Streptococcaceae.